CGCCUUUUGGUAGCUCCGUCCAGUGUGAACUUUCCACUCUCACACUCGUUCUUGACUUACAACAGAGCUUUACGAUCCGAAAACCUUCUUCACUCACGCGGCGUUGCUCGGUCAGGGUUGCCCCCAUUGCCGAAGAUUCCCUACUGCUGCCUCCCGUAGGAGU
RNAcentral lists this ribosomal RNA (163 nucleotides) under uncultured bacterium. RNAcentral describes it as "partial 16S ribosomal RNA". The record is from RNAcentral.